RNAcentral lists this ribosomal RNA (497 nucleotides) under uncultured bacterium. RNAcentral describes it as "partial 16S ribosomal RNA". It matches the Rfam family "Bacterial small subunit ribosomal RNA", at positions 28 to 507 of the family's 1533-position model. The record is from RNAcentral.
GAUGAACGCUGGCGGCGUGCCUAAUACAUGCAAGUCGAGCGAACAGACGAGGAGCUUGCUCCUCUGACGUUAGCGGCGGGCGGGUGAGUAACACGUGGAUAACCUACCUAUAAGACUGGGAUAACUUCGGGAAACCGGAGCUAAUACCGGAUAAUAUAUUGAACCGCAUGGUUCAAUAGUGAAAGACGGUUUUGCUGUCCCUUAUAGAUGGAUCCGCGCCGCAUUAGCUAGUUGGUAAGGUAACGGCUUACCAAGGCAACGAUGCGUAGCCGACCUGAGAGGGUGAUCGGCCACACUGGAACUGAGACACGGUCCAGACUCCUACGGGAGGCAGCAGUAGGGAAUCUUCCACAAUGGGCGAAAGCCUGACGGAGCAACGCCGCGUGAGUGAUGAAGGUCUUCGGAUCGUAAAACUCUGUUAUUAGGGAAGAACAAAUGUGUAAGUAACUAUGCACGUCUUGACGGUACCUAAUCAGAAAGCCACGGCUAACUACGUG